This is a non-coding RNA of Cherax quadricarinatus, 334 nucleotides long. The record is from RefSeq and is a predicted model, not a curated record. Lineage: Eukaryota; Metazoa; Arthropoda; Malacostraca; Decapoda; Parastacidae.
UAGCAAUCAUCAGAUCUACGGCCGAUUUGGCACACAGUGGCAGUGUGUCACCAGGGCCAGUGUCACCGCCACAUUCAGCUGCUGGGAGUAGUGGAGGUAAUGGAGGGUCAAUACUGCCAGACGUGUCCCCUCCUGACCGCAGAGACGACGGCCUCAGUCCACCGCCACCGGCUACGUCUGCGCCACCAGUCUCCCAGCUAUUUACAUAUUCCAGUAUGAGUCCAGUGAGUGCCAUGUCAGGAGUUAUUUCUCCCACAAGUAUGAGCCUCUUCACCUCUCCCGGUACCACCCCACGUACCACCCCACGGUCAACGCCACCGGUGCCACGCUGGAA